UAGCAUAUCAAUAAGCGGAGGAAAAGAAACCAACCGGGAUUGCCUUAGUAACGGCGAGUGAAGCGGCAAAAGCUCAAAUUUGAAAUCUGGCGUCUUCGACGUCCGAGUUGUAAUUUGAAGAAGGCGACUUUGUAGCUGGUCCUUGUCUAUGUUCCUUGGAACAGGACGUCAUAGAGGGUGAGAAUCCCGUGUGGCGAGGAUCCCAGUUAUUUGUAAAGUGCUUUCGACGAGUCGAGUUGUUUGGGAAUGCAGCUCUAAGUGGGUGGUAAAUUCCAUCUAAAGCUAAAUAUUGGCGAGAGACCGAUAGCGAACAAGUACAGUGAUGGAAAGAUGAAAAGAACUUUGAAAAGAGAGUGAAAAAGUACGUGAAAUUGUUGAAAGGGAAGGGCAUUUGAUCAGACAUGGCGUUUGCUUCGGCUUUCGCUGGGCCAGCAUCAGUUUUAGCGGUUGGAUAAAUCCUCGGGAAUGUGGCUCUGCUUCGGUAGAGUGUUAUAGCCCGUGGGAAUACAGCCAGCUGGGACUGAGGAUUGCGACUUUUGUCAAGGAUGCUGGCGUAAUGGUUAAAUGCCGCCCGUCUUGAAACACGGACCAAGGAGUCUAACGUCUAUGCGAGUGUUUGGGUGUAAAACCCGUACGCGUAAUGAAAGUGAACGUAGGUGAGGGCCCGCAAGGGUGCAUCAUCGACCGAUCCUGAUGUCUUCGGAUGGAUUUGAGUAAGAGCAUAGCUGUUGGGACCCGAAAGAUGGUGAACUAUGCCUGAAUAGGGUGAAGCCAGAGGAAACUCUGGUGGAGGCUCGUAGCGGUUCUGACGUGCAAAUCGAUCGUCGAAUUUGGGUAUAGGGGCGAAAGACUAAUCGAACCAUCUAGUAGCUGGUUCCUGCCGAU
Molecule: ribosomal RNA, 885 nt
Filed under: Kluyveromyces marxianus
Lineage: Eukaryota; Fungi; Ascomycota; Saccharomycetes; Saccharomycetales; Saccharomycetaceae
Description: LSU rRNA
Rfam family: Eukaryotic large subunit ribosomal RNA
Source: RNAcentral